GAUGAACGCUGGCGGCGUGCUUAACACAUGCAAGUCGAACGAGAAGUGGAGACGGAAACCUUCGGGCGGAAGACUUUAUUUCGAGUGGCGGACGGGUGAGUAACGCGUGGGUAACCUGCCUCAUACAGGGGGAUAACAGUUGGAAACGACUGUUAAUACCGCAUAAGACCACAGCACCGCAUGGUGCGGGGGUAAAAACUCCGGUGGUAUGAGAUGGACCCGCGUUCGAUUAGCCAGUUGGCGGGGUAACGGCCCACCAAAGCGACGAUCGAUAGCCGAUCUGAGAGGAUGACCGGCCACAUUGGGACUGAGACACGGCCCAAACUCCUACGGGAGGCAGCAGUGGGGAAUAUUGCACAAUGGGGGAAACCCUGAUGCAGCGACGCCGCGUGAGUGAAGAAGUAUUUCGGUGUGUAAAGCUCUAUCAGCAGGGAAGAAAAUGACGGUACCUGAGGAAGAAGCCCCGGCUAACUACGUG
RNAcentral lists this ribosomal RNA (478 nucleotides) under uncultured bacterium. Its description in RNAcentral is "partial 16S ribosomal RNA". It matches the Rfam family "Bacterial small subunit ribosomal RNA", at positions 28 to 507 of the family's 1533-position model. The record is from RNAcentral.